UUAUCACUAGUAAAGCCUUUCUUCCCACAGCAGGUGUGGCCCACUGGCUUUGUGAAUAAUGUGAAUGCUCAUGAAACCCGAUAUGUGGACUCGAGUGGCACUAUUUGUCCUCCAUACUUUCGACACACUAACACGGAAGCCCGAAGUUCACUCCAGAUGUUUCUUGUCGCUACACAUGAACCACAGAGAUGGAAAAAUAUCCGCUCUGAGAGUCCUCUGACCAGAUUUAACAACGACAUCCAAUGGCGAAGCCAGCAGAGACCCGGAGAGGAGCCUGUCCAUCAGAGACACUUGAUUAUCGGAGACUUGGACACAACCCCGGAAACAGCAGUGUGACUCCUCUGGUGAAGGCCUACAGCAGAGACAGGAAGGUCCAAUGAAAUGGUCUGAGACAAGAG
This is a long non-coding RNA of Morone saxatilis (striped sea-bass), 398 nucleotides long. RefSeq lists it as uncharacterized. NCBI's taxonomy places the organism in Eukaryota, Metazoa, Chordata, Actinopteri, Moronidae. The transcript is spliced from 3 exons. The record is from RefSeq and is a predicted model, not a curated record.